RNAcentral lists this long non-coding RNA (1090 nucleotides) under Ananas comosus (pineapple). RNAcentral's name for it is "long non-coding RNA (ACOM_LNC044531)". The record is from RNAcentral. Lineage: Eukaryota; Viridiplantae; Streptophyta; Magnoliopsida; Poales; Bromeliaceae.
AUAGUCCCACCGAAUGUACUUGUGAUUUGAUAUAAAAGACCGUAGACACUAAUGAUAAUAACUGAGCUUAAAUAUUUUAGAUCGAUGGUUUAGAUCCAACAAGUUAUUAUUGCUGUUCUGGUAAUCUUGGACUAUAUGGGAGGAGUUAUUAUUGCCGUCCUAGUAAUCUGUGACACUGGUUACUAUUAUUAAUCGUAUCAUCGGGAAAACGCCAAAUAUCACUCCUGUGGUUUCGUUUUAAAGUGUAUCACUUUUGUACCCUAUAAUUUUAUUUUUCUCUUUUUGUUAAAGUGUAUUAUUUUCAUAUCCUAUGGUUUUAUUUUUCUCUUUUUAUUAUUCUUUUUACUAAUUUUUUUGUUAAAUUAGUGACAAUGUUAAAAGUAAACGGUAAACAUUACGUGCGGUGAGAAAGUACGAUGAAAAAAUAUCCUAUUUAUUUUCGUACAUAAUAUUGCUUUCCAUAUAUUGCGAUGAGUCGGUUAUGAUAUAUUUUCUGCGAUUCCAUCGGAAUACGUAGAAGCAUGUCCCUAUAUAUUUUUACACCAACUUCAUUUUAUCUAAUAGCAUUAGAUGUGGCUCAAUGCCAAACUAAGCAAUGCCAAACUAAGCCUGAGUCAAGUUGUUACAACGCCGACUUUUUUAAAGAAUAAUCCUAUAAAUAUUUCUUAUUCACCAAAUGAUCCUUCCAAAAAUUUUAUUUGGCUAACUAAUUCUUUUUUUUAAGCUCAGUACCAAAUUAGACAAAAAUGAAGAAAAAAAUCGGUGAAUCGAUCACGUUCUAAAAUUUUAUUUGGUCAGGUAAAUCAUUCAUUAUUUUCUAGUUGUUGUUGUUAUUUAUUGGUUUUUUUUAUUGAUUACGAGGAUAUUUCUGAGAUUAUUAGAAUUAUAUAUGAAUUAUUGAAUUUUUGUUUGACUUUUAGGGUUGUAUAGGUAGAUUGUUAAAAUUUUUUGGAUUGUUAAGAUUGUAUGUGAUUGGUUAGAAUUAUAUACAAUGAAAUAUAAAGAAAUAAUAAAUUUUAACCAAAUAAAAUUUUGGUAGAAUUAUUUGGCAAAUUAUGACGUUUUUUAAGAGUUAGUUUGAAAAAAAAGC